Molecule: ribosomal RNA, 154 nt
Filed under: fungal sp. mh1323.2
Lineage: Eukaryota; Fungi
Description: 5.8S ribosomal RNA
Rfam family: 5.8S ribosomal RNA
About the family: 5.8S ribosomal RNA (5.8S rRNA) is a component of the large subunit of the eukaryotic ribosome.
Source: RNAcentral
AACUUUCAACAACGGAUCUCUUGGUUCUGGCAUCGAUGAAGAACGCANCGAAAUGCGAUAAGUAAUGUGAAUUGCAGAAUUCAGUGAAUCAUCGAAUCUUUGAACGCACAUUGCGCCCCUUGGUAUUCCGAGGGGCAUGCCUGUUCGAGCGUCA